GUCUAGGCAUGCUGUCUAGGGGGUCAUUUGACCCCCGGCAGACGGGUGCGUAACACAUUGGUAAUCUACCUUCUUCUCGAGUAUAACCUGGAGAAAUCCGGGAUAAUCCUCGAUAGUCAUGGGGGGACGCAAGUCAUUCCCAUGUAAAGAUUUAUCGGAAGAAGAGGAGCCUAUGGCCCAUCAGCUUGUUGGUAGGGUAAAAGCCUACCAAGGCGAUGACGGGUAGCGGGUGUGAGAGCAUGGCCCGCCUCACUGGGACUGAAACACUGCCCAGACUCCUACGGGAGGCUGCAGUCAAGAAUCUUCCUCAAUGGACGAAAGUCUGAAGGAGCAAUGCCGCGUGAUCGAAGAAGCUUUUCGGAGUGUAAAGAUCUUUUAUCAGGGACGAAUUCGUGACGGUACCUGAUGAAUAAGCCACUGCUAACUUCGUGCCAGCAGCAGCGGUAAUACGAAGGUGGCAAGCGUUAUCCGGAAUAAUUGGGCGUAAAGCGUCCGCAGACUGUUUGAUAAGUCUUUUGUUAAAUCCUGAAGCUAAACUUCAGGGCCGCGAAAGAAACUAUCUUACUAGAGACUGGAAGAGGCAAGCGGAAUUACCGGUGUAGGGGUCAAAUCCGUUAAUAUCGGUAAGAACACCAAAUGCGAAGGCAGCUUGCUGGGACAGUUCUGACGUUCAGGGACGAAAGCGUGGGGAGCGAAUGGGAUUAGAUACCCCAGUAGUCCACGCCGUAAACGAUGGGUACUGAGCAUUGGGAGUAUCGACCCUCUCAGUGUUGUUUAACUAAGCUAACGCCUUAAGUACCCCGCCUGGGAAGUACGGUCGCAAGACUAAAACUCAAAGGAAUUGACGGGAACCCGCACAAGCAGUGGAGCAUGUGGUUUAAUUCGACGAUAAGCGAGGAACCUUACCAAGGCUUGACAUCCUUGGAACCCCGCAGAAAUGCGGGGGUGCCUUCGGGAACCAAGUGACAGGUGUUGCAUGGGUUGUCGUCAGCUCGUGUCGUGAGAUGUUUGGGUUAAGUCCAGUAACGAGCGCAACCCUUGUCUAUGUUACUUUACGUA
This 1059-nucleotide ribosomal RNA is filed under the name uncultured bacterium. Its description in RNAcentral is "bacterial SSU rRNA". It matches the Rfam family "Bacterial small subunit ribosomal RNA", at positions 46 to 1125 of the family's 1533-position model. The record is from RNAcentral.